AGUCGACGGCAGCGCGGGGCAACCUGGCGGCGAGUGGCGAACGGGUGAGUAAUAUAUCGGAACGUACCCAAGAGUGGGGGAUAACGUAGCGAAAGUUACGCUAAUACCGCAUACGAUCUAAGGAUGAAAGUGGGGGAUCGCAAGACCUCAUGCUCCUGGAGCGGCCGAUAUCUGAUUAGCUAGUUGGUGAGGUAAAGGCUCACCAAGGCGACGAUCAGUAGCUGGUCUGAGAGGACGACCAGCCACACUGGGACUGAGACACGGCCCAGACUCCUACGGGAGGCAGCAGUGGGGAAUUUUGGACAAUGGGCGCAAGCCUGAUCCAGCAAUGCCGCGUGAGUGAAGAAGGCCUUCGGGUUGUAAAGCUCUUUUGUCAGGGAAGAAACGGCUCCGGCUAAUAUCUGGGGCUAAUGACGGUACCUGAAGAAUAAGCACCGGCUAACUACGUGCCAGCAGCCGCGGUAAUACGUAGGGUGCAAGCGUUAAUCGGAAUUACUGGGCGUAAAGCGUGCGCUGGCGGUUUUGUAAUUCUGACGUUGAAUGCCCCUGGCUUAACCUGG
RNAcentral lists this ribosomal RNA (560 nucleotides) under uncultured bacterium. Its description in RNAcentral is "bacterial SSU rRNA". It matches the Rfam family "Bacterial small subunit ribosomal RNA", at positions 60 to 617 of the family's 1533-position model. The record is from RNAcentral.